GCCUGCCUGGCUCAGUUGGUGGGGCAUGAGACUCCUAAUCUUGGGGUUGUGAGUUCGAGCCCCACAUUGGGUG
Molecule: transfer RNA, 73 nt
Filed under: Ailuropoda melanoleuca (giant panda)
Lineage: Eukaryota; Metazoa; Chordata; Mammalia; Carnivora; Ursidae
Rfam family: tRNA
About the family: Transfer RNA (tRNA) molecules are approximately 80 nucleotides in length. Their secondary structure includes four short double-helical elements and three loops (D, anti-codon, and T loops).
Source: Rfam by way of RNAcentral